CACGUAGGGGGCAAGCGUUGUCCGGAUUUAUUGAGCGUAAAGAGCUCGUAGGUGGUUCGGUAAGUCGGGUGUUAAACCCCCAGGCUCAACCUGGGGACGCCACUCGAUACUGCUGUGACUAGAGUCCGGUAGGGGAGCGUGGAAUUCCUGGUGUAGCGGUGAAAUGCGCAGAUAUCAGGAGGAACACCAGCGGCGAAGGCGGCGCUCUGGGCCGGUACUGACACUGAGGAGCGAAAGCGUGGGGAGCAAACAGG
This 254-nucleotide ribosomal RNA is filed under the name uncultured bacterium. RNAcentral's name for it is "partial 16S ribosomal RNA". It matches the Rfam family "Bacterial small subunit ribosomal RNA", at positions 524 to 776 of the family's 1533-position model. The record is from RNAcentral.